This 75-nucleotide transfer RNA is filed under the name Verrucomicrobia bacterium ADurb.Bin070. RNAcentral describes it as "tRNA-Thr". It matches the Rfam family "tRNA". Rfam says of the family: Transfer RNA (tRNA) molecules are approximately 80 nucleotides in length. Lineage: Bacteria; Pseudomonadati; Verrucomicrobiota. The record is from RNAcentral.
GCCAACGUAGCUCAGCUGGUAGAGCAGAUCAUUCGUAAUGAUCAGGUCGUCCGUUCGAUCCGGAUCGUUGGCUCC